UACAUGUGGGGCAAGCGUUUGUUCGGAAUUACUGGGCAUAAAGGGUGCGUAGGCGGCUUGUUAAGUCAGGGGUGAAAGUUUUCGGCCCAACCGGAAAAUUGCCUUUGAUACUGGCGAGCUGGAGUGCGUGAGGGGGUGACCGGAACGAGUGGUGUAGCGGUGAAAUGCGUAGAUAUCACUCGGAAGGCCAACGGCGAAGGCAGGUCACUGGUGCGCAACUGACGCUGAGGCACGAAAGCGUGGGGGAGCAAACAGG
RNAcentral lists this ribosomal RNA (256 nucleotides) under uncultured bacterium. RNAcentral describes it as "partial 16S ribosomal RNA". It matches the Rfam family "Bacterial small subunit ribosomal RNA", at positions 524 to 776 of the family's 1533-position model. The record is from RNAcentral.